This 465-nucleotide ribosomal RNA is filed under the name Vreelandella stevensii. RNAcentral describes it as "partial 16S ribosomal RNA". It matches the Rfam family "Bacterial small subunit ribosomal RNA", at positions 338 to 795 of the family's 1533-position model. The record is from RNAcentral. Lineage: Bacteria; Pseudomonadati; Pseudomonadota; Gammaproteobacteria; Oceanospirillales; Halomonadaceae.
UCUACGGGUGGCUGCAGUGGGGAAUAUUGGACAAUGGGCGAAAGCCUGAUCCAGCCAUGCCGCGUGUGUGAAGAAGGCCUUCGGGUUGUAAAGCACUUUCAGUGGGGAAGAAAGCCUUGGGGCUAAUACCCUCGAGGAAGGACAUCACCCACAGAAGAAGCACCGGCUAACUCCGUGCCAGCAGCCGCGGUAAUACGGAGGGUGCGAGCGUUAAUCGGAAUUACUGGGCGUAAAGCGCGCGUAGGCGGUCUGAUAAGCCGGUUGUGAAAGCCCCGGGCUCAACCUGGGAACGGCAUCCGGAACUGUCAGGAUAGAGUGCAGGAGAGGAAGGUAGAAUUCCCGGUGUAGCGGUGAAAUGCGUAGAGAUCGGGAGGAAUACCAGUGGCGAAGGCGGCCUUCUGGACUGACACUGACGCUGAGGUGCGAAAGCGUGGGUAGCAAACAGGAUUAGAUACCCGAGUAGUC